GAACGGAUCAAGUGUUAGGAAUGAGGAUUCACAGCUGAUAAAUUUGUUGUGUUAUAUAAUUUUGUAUGAUUAUAAAAACAAUAUGUAUUAUAAUGUAGAAAUCGUUAUAACACAAUACAAAUAAAGAGGAAAUGAAUUCUGAUUCCUAAGACUUGAUUAGUGGCGGACGGGUGAGUAACGCGUGAGCAACCUGCCCUAAAGUGGGGGAUAACGUUCGGAAACGAACGCUAAUACCGCAUAAAAUUAUUUAUUCGCAUGAAUAAAUAAUCAAAGGAGAAAUUCGCUUUAGGAUGGGCUCGCGUCCGAUUAGCUAGAUGGUGUGGUAAAAGCAUACCAUGGCGACGAUCGGUAGCCGGACUGAGAGGUUGAACGGCCACAUUGGGACUGAGACACGGCCCAGACUCCUACGGGAGGCAGCAGUGGGGGAUAUUGCACAAUGGGCGAAAGCCUGAUGCAGCAACGCCGCGUGAGGGAAGAAGGUUUUCGGAUUGUAAACCUCUGUCUUUGGUGAAGAAAAAAAUGACGGUAACCAAGGAGGAAGCCACGGCUAACUACGUGCCAGCAGCCGCGGUAAUACGUAGGUGGCAAGCGUUGUCCGGAAUUACUGGGUGUAAAGGGUGCGCAGGCGGGUUAGCAAGUCUCGCGUGAAAUAUAUCGGCUCAACCGAUAGACGGCGCGGGAAACUGUAUAUCUUGAGUGGAGCAGAGGCAGGCGGAAUUCCGAGUGUAGCGGUGAAAUGCGUAGAUAUUCGGAGGAACACCAGUGGCGAAGGCGGCUUGCUGGGCUCUAACUGACGCUGAGGCACGAAAGCAUGGGGAGCAAACAGGAUUAGAUACCCUGGUAGUCCAUGCUGUAAACGAUGAUUGCUAGGUGUGGGAGGUCUGACCCCUUCCGUGCCGGAGUUAACACAAUAAGCAAUCCACCUGGGGAGUACGGCCGCAAGGUUGAAACUCAAAGGAAUUGACGGGGGCCCGCACAAGCAGUGGAGUAUGUGGUUUAAUUCGAAGCAACGCGAAGAACCUUACCAGGUCUUGACAUCCAACUAAGUUUUUAGAGAUAAAAAUGUGCCCUUCGGGGAAAGUUGAGACAGGUGGUGCAUGGUUGUCGUCAGCUCGUGUCGUGAGAUGUUGGGUUAAGUCCCGCAACGAGCGCAACCCUUGCCAUUAGUUGCUACGUAAGAGCACUCUAAUGGGACCGCCGUUGACAAAACGGAGGAAGGUGGGGACGACGUCAAAUCAUCAUGCCCCUUAUGACCUGGGCUACACACGUACUACAAUGAUCGCUAACAGAGGGAAGCGAAGGCGCGAGCCGGAGCAAAACCCCAAAAGCGAUCUCAGUUCAGACUGCAGGCUGCAACUCGCCUGCACGAAGUCGGAAUUGCUAGUAAUCGCGAAUCAGCAUGUCGCGGUGAAUACGUUCCCGGGC
RNAcentral lists this ribosomal RNA (1425 nucleotides) under uncultured Clostridiaceae bacterium. RNAcentral describes it as "bacterial SSU rRNA". It matches the Rfam family "Bacterial small subunit ribosomal RNA", at positions 64 to 1379 of the family's 1533-position model. Lineage: Bacteria; Bacillati; Bacillota; Clostridia; Eubacteriales; Clostridiaceae. The record is from RNAcentral.